UACGUAGGUCCCGAGCGUUGUCCAGAUUUAUUGGGCGUAAAGCGAGCGCAGGUGGUUUAUUAAGUCUGGUGUAAAAGGCAGUGGCUCAACCAUUGUAUGCAUUGGAAACUGGUAGACUUGAGUGCAGGAGAGGAGAGUGGAAUUCCAUGUGUAGCGGUGAAAUGCGUAGAUAUAUGGAGGAACACCGGUGGCGAAAGCGGCUCUCUGGCCUGUAAUUGACACUGAGGCUCGAAAGCGUGGGGAGCAAACAGG
This 252-nucleotide ribosomal RNA is filed under the name uncultured bacterium. Its description in RNAcentral is "partial 16S ribosomal RNA". It matches the Rfam family "Bacterial small subunit ribosomal RNA", at positions 524 to 776 of the family's 1533-position model. The record is from RNAcentral.